GCCCUUGAAAUACCACCCUGUUGUUAUUGAGGUUCUAACUUGGUCCAGUAAUCCUGGAUGAGGACAGUGUAUGAUGGGUAGUUUGACUGGGGCGGUCUCCUCCCAAAGAGUAACGGAGGAGCACAAAGGUACCCUCGGUACGGUCGGACAUCGUACCAAGAGUGUAAAGGCAAAAGGGUGCUUGACUGCGAGAGUGACGGCUCGAGCAGGAACGAAAGUUGGUCUUAGUGAUCCGGUGGUUCUGAAUGGAAGGGCCAUCGCUCAACGGAUAAAAGGUACUCCGGGGAUAACAGGCUGAUACCGCCCAAGAGUUCAUAUCGACGGCGGUGUUUGGCACCUCGAUGUCGGCUCAUCACAUCCUGGGGCUGAAGCAGGUCCCAAGGGUAUGGCUGUUCGCCAUUUAAAGUGGUACGCGAGCUGGGUUUAGAACGUCGUGAGACAGUUCGGUCCCUAUCUGCCGUGGGCGUAGGAAAAUUGAGAGGAGCUGCUCCUAGUACGAGAGGACCGGAGUGGACGAACCUCUGGUGCACCGGUUGUCACGCCAGUGGCAUGGCCGGGUAGCUAAGUUCGGACGGGAUAACCGCUGAAAGCAUCUAAGCGGGAAGCCUCCCUCAAGAUGAGUUUUCCCAUGAAGCCCGUUGAAGACUACGACGUUGAUAGGCAAGGUGUGGAAGCGCAGUAAUGCGUGAAGCUAACUUGUACUAAUUGGCUGAUUG
Molecule: ribosomal RNA, 716 nt
Filed under: Legionella pneumophila
Lineage: Bacteria; Pseudomonadati; Pseudomonadota; Gammaproteobacteria; Legionellales; Legionellaceae
Description: partial 23S ribosomal RNA
Rfam family: Bacterial large subunit ribosomal RNA
Source: RNAcentral